CGAUAGCGUAUAUUUAAGUUGCUGCAGUUAAAAAGCUCGUAGUUGGAUUUCGGGUGGGAAUGGCCGGUCCGCCGUUUCGGUGUGCACUUGCUACGCCCACCUUGCUGCCGGGGACGUGCUCUUGAGUUCACGCUCGGGACACGGAGUCGGCGAGGUUACUUUGAGUAAAUUAGAGUGUUCAAAGCAGGCCUACGCCCUGAAUACAUUAGCAUGGAAUAACACGAUAGGACUCUGGCCUAUCUUGUUGGUCUGUAGGACCGGAGUAAUGAUUAAGAGGGACAGUCGGGGGCAUUCGUAUUUCAUUGUCAGAGGUGAAAUUCUUGGAUUUAUGAAAGACGAACUACUGCGAAAGCAUUUGCCAAGGAUGUUUUCAUUAA
This 377-nucleotide ribosomal RNA is filed under the name uncultured eukaryote. RNAcentral describes it as "partial 18S ribosomal RNA". It matches the Rfam family "Eukaryotic small subunit ribosomal RNA", at positions 592 to 976 of the family's 1831-position model. The record is from RNAcentral.